RNAcentral lists this ribosomal RNA (551 nucleotides) under uncultured bacterium. RNAcentral's name for it is "bacterial SSU rRNA". It matches the Rfam family "Bacterial small subunit ribosomal RNA", at positions 355 to 896 of the family's 1533-position model. The record is from RNAcentral.
UGGGGAAUUUUGCGCAAUGGGGGAAACCCUGACGCAGCAACGCAGCGUGAGUGAUGAAGGCCUUCGGGUCGUAAAGCUCUGUCAGAGGGAAAGAAAUGUACGAGGGUUAAUACCCCUUGUACUUGACGGUACCCUCAAAGGAAGCACCGGCUAACUCCGUGCCAGCAGCCGCGGUAAUACGGAGGGUGCGAGCGUUGUUCGGAUUUAUUGGGCGUAAAGCGCGUGUAGGCGGCUUCUUAAGUCUGAUGUGAAAGCCCUGGGCUCAACCCGGGAAGUGCAUUGGAAACUGGGAAACUUGAAUACGGGAGAGGGUAGUGGAAUUCCUGGUGUAGGAGUGAAAUCCGUAGAUAUCAGGAGGAACACCGGUGGCGAAGGCGGCUGCCUGGACCGAUAUUGACGCUGAGACGCGAAAGCGUGGGGAGCAAACAGGAUUAGAUACCCUGGUAGUCCACGCCGUAAACGAUGAGUACUAGGUGUUGCGGGUAUUGACCCCUGCAGUGCCGCAGCUAACGCAUUAAGUACUCCGCCUGGGAAGUACGGUCGCAAGACUA